Non-coding RNA from Kosmotoga olearia TBF 19.5.1, 137 nucleotides. NCBI's taxonomy places the organism in Bacteria, Thermotogati, Thermotogota, Thermotogae, Kosmotogales, Kosmotogaceae. The record is from Rfam.
CAGUGGGAGAUAAACCCACCAAGGCAAAAGCCAGAACCUUGUAGCUUGGUCAGCAAGGGGGAAGGAAACUGAACUCUUGAAGCCUGACGACAAAGCCAUCGGAAGGAUGGUGAGGGAGUAUCCGGGCCGUAACGAAA